AACAUCCGACAGGGGAGCGCGAACAGCGCUGAGAGUGCGGCUCGGCCGCAGACCCUCGGACCUGAUCCGGGUCAUACCGGCGUAGGGAGUCAGCCUCAUAUGAAC
Molecule: non-coding RNA, 105 nt
Filed under: Streptomyces bingchenggensis
Lineage: Bacteria; Bacillati; Actinomycetota; Actinomycetes; Kitasatosporales; Streptomycetaceae
Also listed under: 1 other name
Description: TPP sequence
Rfam family: TPP riboswitch aptamer (THI element)
About the family: Vitamin B(1) in its active form thiamin pyrophosphate (TPP) is an essential coenzyme that is synthesised by coupling of pyrimidine and thiazole moieties in bacteria. The previously detected thiamin-regulatory element, thi box was extended, resulting in a new, highly conserved RNA secondary structure, the THI element, which is widely distributed in eubacteria and also occurs in some archaea.
Source: RNAcentral